UACGGAGGGGGUUAGCGUUGUUCGGAGUUACUGGGCGUAAAGCGUACGUAGGCGGAUUAGUAAGUUAGAGGUGAAAUCCCAGGGCUCAACCCUGGAACUGCCUUUAAUACUGCUAGUCUUGAGUUCGAGAGAGGUGAGUGGAAUUCCAAGUGUAGAGGUGAAAUUCGUAGAUAUUUGGAGGAACACCAGUGGCGAAGGCGGCUCACUGGCUCGAUACUGACGCUGAGGUACGAAAGUGUGGGGAGCAAACAGG
Molecule: ribosomal RNA, 253 nt
Filed under: uncultured bacterium
Lineage: Bacteria
Description: partial 16S ribosomal RNA
Rfam family: Bacterial small subunit ribosomal RNA
Source: RNAcentral